Long non-coding RNA from Salarias fasciatus (jewelled blenny), 709 nucleotides. RefSeq lists it as uncharacterized. The transcript has 2 exons. The record is from RefSeq and is a predicted model, not a curated record. Lineage: Eukaryota; Metazoa; Chordata; Actinopteri; Blenniiformes; Blenniidae.
CAUAGCCCAGACAAGAAGACAGGAGAUUGUUAUCACAUGUAUGACGCAGCCAGUACUUGCCAGAAAUUCUUGUAGCUCCUUCAGUGUUGAUGUUGACCUCUUGGCAGCCUCCCUGACAAGUUCUCUUCUCGUCUUAUUAUCAAUUUUGGACGGACGUCCUGUUCUUGCUAAUGUCACUGUUGUGCCAUAUUUUCUCCACUUGAAGGUGACGGUCUUCACUGUGGUCCAUGGCUUUCCAAAGACGUGUUCUUCAGAUUGAGGAGAUGGUCCAGUUUGGUGACUCCUUCUUUACUCAGGUUGGCCCUCAGUCUGGUAAACUGCGUGACUGGAGUCUGAAGAAUCUGUUAAAGACACAGGUUUUUCAAACAUCCACCUGAUUGGUGAUAGGUGUGUGUUUGGUGAGACAAGCCUGCCAGGCAUGCAGGCCAGAGGUGUAAAAUGGAGUCAGACCAGUUAAAAACCCUCAAGUUAAGUUCAUCAACAAUGGUCAUCAGGAAGAGCUGUUUAUCAGAGGCAAGCAACCCCACCCUUCUCAGCAGCAGGCGCAGUCCUGCUUCACAGUCAAAGAGCAACAGCUGUGCACUGUGGAGUCUGAAAGCUGCUACUUUGGACCUAAUGACUGUUAAUCCUUGCCCCACUUCAACCACAAACAGAUUGAAGGCUGCAUUCCUCACCCAGUGUUUACCAGACCAGAAAAAGUCCAGGAAGA